This 4797-nucleotide long non-coding RNA is filed under the name Mus musculus (house mouse). Its description in RNAcentral is "predicted gene, 35940". Lineage: Eukaryota; Metazoa; Chordata; Mammalia; Rodentia; Muridae. The record is from RNAcentral.
GCGCUUUAGAACUUUUUAAUAAAAACUGUUAGACUCUAUUAUGAAAUCAAUAGCAGCUUCUAAAGACAAACUUGGAAAAAUCAUGUUCUCUUUGGUAGUUCCUUCCAAAGGGCUUCAGCUUGCUUCCAAAGGAACAGAAAAAUACAUAUGCACAGUCCACUGCUUUAUGUGAAGUCCAUUUAAAAUAUACAUUAUUGGAUCCAGGUACAGUGGGAACCAAAUAGUUUGGGAAUCAACUCAAAUGAUUUUUUUGAUAAGCAAACAGUUCCUUUUUUUAGGAGCAGUCUGGUAUAGGCUGGCCAGAAAAGGCUCUAAUAGUUUGAGUCCUAGCUGUGCUGAGGACAUUAGUCAGCAUGUGUCAUAGGGAAAUUAAGAGUUUCCAUUCAUCCAUCACAUCAGCUAGGUAUGCUUAGGCCACACAUCUCCUGCUCUGCACAAUGAUGGCCCUACUAGAGACUGAAUGUCAAAUGUCCAGCACAGACUCAUGUGUUUGAACACUUGCUCUCUGACUUUUGGCACAAUUUGGGGACUUUGUAGACUCUUGAGGAGGUGAAUCCUUGUUGAGGGAGCUGAGUCACUAAGGGCCAAGCCCACUUCCUGCUCACUGUCUCCUCCGCAGCCAAAACCACGCAACACUACUCAUGGGAUGGACUGGCAGGUUCACUUCCUGUCAUCAGGCUUUCCCUGGUGCCAUGGUGGACUAUAGCUCCUCAGACUGUGAGCCAAGACAAACGCUUCUUCCCACAAGUUGCUUCUCGUCAGGUAUUUUGUCACAGGAGUGAGUGUUCGUGGAGAGCAGUAAAUGGUUUUCUUCAAUCGGAGAUGCAUGUUCCUAAUUAGACUCAUUUAUUCUGCAAUAUUAAGAACAUGCAACUAGUGGAGACAACAGAAAGGAGCAGGGGCCAGCUGAAUGUCGAUGCUUUACUGAGUUAAUGGAGGUGGACACAUCCCAACUGGAUUUUCCCCAGAGAGCACAACUUCAUGGCCCCAUCCUGACAGCUGACAUCCUCUGAGCCCAAGGUUGAAGGUGAUGACUAAGCUCUGGAACCCAGCUCAUGAAGUGCUGCUAGCUACAUCUACGGCGGCCCUUCCCUCUUUCGUUAAACUAUUCUGGAAACACUCUCACAAACAAACCCAGAGCUGCGUUUUCUUGGUGUUUCUAAAUCCAGUCAAGUUGGCGAUAAAGACAAAACAUGACGUGCUGCGAGAGCCAGAAGAGACAGAGCACAGGAGACAAGUCCUAACACAUCAGAAGCUUCAAAACGCAGAGGUGGGCACAGCAGAGAGACCCAAUGCAGUUCCCAAGACACAGAGCAGACGUGAUUUAAAAUGAGUAAAUUGCAAACGCAGAGUGUGAGCCAUCUCUGUCUACCUAAGAUGAAACCAGACUAUGAAGCAACACAAAGAGCCAGAGAGGUUGAGUGGACAAAAGAGAUGACUUCAUCGCUCUGGCAGGACUUAUGGAACUCUUCUGGAAAAGAACCCACAUUAAUUCCCCAAAGGAAAGAAAAUAAGAUAUUGUCUGGAAAGACCUAAGAGUGUCACUUCACUAUUCCCCCUCAGAGCACCCUGGCAAUAAGGUUGCCAUGCUAAAAUGUUGCAUGUGCUGCCCUCCCUGACGCAUCCUCUAGAGCCUGUUUCGACACAUCCCACAUAGAUUCUCUUUGCCAUACUUCCUUUGAGUUAUUUUUCUUUCUGGACCUCUGUGCUCCAGAGAAGCAACAUUCUGGGAAGUGAAGUGAUUUAGACCUACCUGAUGGCUUUGCUCCCUUUUAUUCCCGAUUAGGAGUCCUGGGCCUGAGCCCAACCCUCUCACUGGUCAGUUUUCUGCUUUGCCCAGUCAAUGAACAGAGGAAGAUAGCCAAAGUAAUUCUCAAAGUGGAAAACUCAAGGAAAAGAUGUGAUGGCUUUGAAGAGAGGACCAUGUGAAUAGAGAAUGAAACUGGACCAGGAACUCCAAUGCAAACCUAACAAAUGUAGACUAGAAGAUGAGGUUAGAAGGCUGGCCAAAGGGAAGCCGAACUACUACAUCAAUAGUUAUUUUACUUCACUGAAACACAAUGAAUACUCUUUGUUGGUUUCUAUAUGUUUCUAGAGUCUUAGUUUUUUUUAAUUAUUAUUUAUGUGUAUGUGUGUCUAACUGUAUGUGUAUGCACACAUGCAUGCAUGUACCAUCAGACACCAGAAGAGGGCACCAGAGCCCCCUGGAGUGUAGAGUUACAGAUGGUUGUGAGCCACUCAGCAUGAAUGCUGGGAAACAAAUCCUUUGAAAGAGAAGCAAGUGCUCUUUAACUUUCUCUCUCUAGCCCCAAAGAAGGCUUUUAAAAAGAGCAGGGUUGAAACAUGAAAACUGUGAUUAGGAGUUCAGGCUUUGUAGGAGGAAGACCAGAUAAAGAUGCAUGGCUCUGCGUCUCACUAGCAAGGUGACCUCAAACCCAUUGCUAGGCUGUGGGCCCCGAUCUGUGAAAUGACAAUAACCACAUCUACAGCACAGAAGUGUGUCCAUGUGUCAGUGGCCAUUAAUACUACUCCUGCUAUGUGCUAGAUAUUGAUAAUUAAUAUGGACUAUGCCCAAGGUCACACAUGGCAACCUACUGAUCAAAACCCAUUAUGGCUUGGCACUCUGUAAGCAUGCUCCUUACAAUGUCAGGACCAUAAACCACUCAGCCCCCGUAUCUGGCAAAUGACUACAGGUUAAUGUAAAAGGUCAAAAAUCUUUUGUCUUAUUUUAUUUUACAUUUUUCUCUCACAUAGGGUAAAAGAGAGAAAAAAAAUCUUAACACUGAUUAGGAGGUUAAGAAAAAAAAGUUCUAGAAACCAGAAAAAGAAAAUUUUUUUCUCUGAAGAUGUGAAUGCCUGUCACAAACUUUCUUGGCUUGGCAUAUCAUGAGUCACUUCUUUUGUUCUCUGAAACUGACCAGAACUUUAACUAAAUUUUGGUGUCAAGUCAAAGCCUACCCUUACCCUUCUCGUAUUGUAAACAAGUCCACUGAAGAUCCAGGUUAAAGUAUUUUCUCUUUUCAGCUUGAUGAAUUACUAACAAGAACGGCACAUGAGAUAAUGUCUCUUGGUAUCUGGAUAAUACACUGCCUCUCAAACCUACGACAGAAAUACUGGCUUCUCUCUGUGUGCUUCUAAUGGCCUUGGGGUGGGGGGAUAGCUUAAAUCAAAACCUUCCUCGUUACCUACCACAAUCCUCUUGGUUGUAGUGGUCCUGAGGUUUGAGGAGCUGUUUGCUAACCCUGUGAUCCCAAAGCUCACACUGAACUUGGGUUGUUAAAAUGCUCCAGAGGGGACCUGAACCAUGGCAAUCGGAGACCUCCCUCCACUCAUGCCAAAAUACCCUUCGCCUUUAAGGGCUCUUUUUAAAGCCAGAGAGUUCUCUCUGAUCCUCCUUAAUAAAGUGCCCAGGCAGCGGUAGUAACAACGCUCCCCUUCCUUAUUUGAGAUCUGUGCAGUCUCAUUAAAUUUGAUGUGUCACAGAGGGCUUGAGUAUGUGAAAGGCAGGCGGUGGGAGCUGGACUGGAGGUUGCCAGCUUUACUAAGGAAACGUAAUUCAUUACACCUUUUCAAAAUGGACGCCCCUCUGGCUUCCUGCUCCAUUGAUUCCCCCCUCCCCUUCGCAAGUAACGAGUGAAGGGCCUGCUCAGCCUGCAGAUUUAACCCUUAUUAACAGCUGUUUAAAUUAGAGAUGCAGUUUGAUGGAGAGAUGGGAGCCCCUCAAAGGAAACCAAGAUUAAAGCAUGCAUAAGACUGGAGCUGGGUUGUUGAGACAGCACCCCUGCCACCCCCCAAAAAGGAGGGGCUAGUGUUGCUAUUAAGCAGUUUGUCUAAAUAAUAUGUUCCUGCUUUGCCAUGAUUAAAUAUUCAUGGCCUACACUCCCACCUCUGUUGCCCCCACUCCUUUGCAAUAGUCAUAGAAGAAGGAAAAUUUGCUGGACUGUGCAAAACAAAGAAUCCUGUGACAAUAACCAGUUGGUUUGCCUGCUUCCUCCUUCUUGAGAUUGAUCUGAAACUACUCUGAAACCUAGCUGACUCCAAGCACCUUUGAGACCUGGGAGUGAACUACUGGGUUCUCUUGAAGGGAGCCGUCUGUUCUGGAAGCAGAGUCUGCAAGACAGAAGACAAGGUUCACCCUCCAAGUGCAACCAUGGAUUCUGUGGGAUUAUAUCAUUCACCUGGCCCAUAAACUAACCUGGAAGCAAAAGGACAAAGGUCAGGGUCAAGGAGCACCCACAUGUCAGACAGGCACGUAAAAUUCACAGUCCGACAUCAUUAUACAUCCCUGGAUAGUUAUGCAUCCUGCCCAAUAGAAACUAAUAAACCAAGAAAUAUCUGAAAAAGAAAAUCUAAUGAUAUUUACUUAUUUACUCAUUUGCUCGGGUCUCUACUCUGAGCUUUGUACCUGGCAAUAUUGUGGUGCUGGCAAUUUCAAAGGUCAGCAAACCACCUGACAAAAAACAAUGUAAGAGAGGAACGGUCUACUGGAGCUCAUACCUUGAGCCUAUGGCCGAUCAUGGCCAGGAAGGAGCAUACGACAACUGCCCAUAUUACAUCUGUGUUCUGGAAGCAGAGAGCCAUGGGCGCUAGCUGGUGCUCAGCUGGCCCUCUCUUCUGUAUUCAGCCAAGCAGUUAUAUGUCUCACCUUGCUGAUGCUAGUCUAAAAGAAAACCCUUCAUGAACAUCCUCAGGGGUUUGUCUCCGAGCGGCUUUAGAUCCUACCAAGCUGGUAUUGAGUACAAACCAUCACACUGUAUGCGUUGAGGACCCUCACCAAAUCUAACUGAAUUUAACGGA